UUUAGAAAAAAGCAAACCAUUUGAAAGAUUGGGACGCAAAGCUACAGGUCUAAGGUUAUAAACUAAGAUGGCUGAGUUGCCUAA
This 84-nucleotide non-coding RNA is filed under the name Bacillus sp. (in: firmicutes). Its description in RNAcentral is "Bacillus sp. c-di-GMP sequence". It matches the Rfam family "c-di-GMP-I riboswitch aptamer". From Rfam's summary of the family: GEMM was predicted in a large-scale screen for bacterial structured RNA regulatory elements. Genes associated with GEMM are involved in a diverse array of functions, including chemotaxis regulation, signal transduction, secretion and chitin. Lineage: Bacteria; Bacillati; Bacillota; Bacilli; Caryophanales; Bacillaceae. The record is from RNAcentral. RNAcentral also lists the same sequence under 1 other name.